AGAACCCAUGGGGCUAGGGAUAUAGCUUAGUUGGUAGUGUGCUUGCCUCAUAUGUACAAGGUCCUAGGUUCAAUCCCCAUCAUCAUAAAUAAAUAAAUAAAAACUAGAACUCGUUUUACCAAUGGCAGGAAUCCUGGGACUGUGGUGAUAUUAAUUACAGUGGAGACUUGAUUGUGGCAGAAUGUUAAAUGGUUGUGGGUCUAUGGCAUAUCUCAUGCUACAGAUGCACCCAACCCCGUUCUGAUCUUAGAGACAGGUUUCCUGAGAUAUUGCAACUCCACAACAAGAAAAGAUUCUCAGUUGUCCUCCUUCCAAUGAGAUUCCUCCCAAAUCAUGACCUAUGCAUGGACGUAGAAUGGAG
RNAcentral lists this long non-coding RNA (361 nucleotides) under Marmota monax (woodchuck). The record is from RNAcentral. Lineage: Eukaryota; Metazoa; Chordata; Mammalia; Rodentia; Sciuridae.